This 622-nucleotide ribosomal RNA is filed under the name Paramyrothecium roridum. Its description in RNAcentral is "eukaryotic LSU rRNA". It matches the Rfam family "Eukaryotic large subunit ribosomal RNA", at positions 1 to 648 of the family's 3401-position model. The record is from RNAcentral. Lineage: Eukaryota; Fungi; Ascomycota; Sordariomycetes; Hypocreales; Stachybotryaceae.
GUUGACCUCGGAUCAGGUAGGAAUACCCGCUGAACUUAAGCAUAUCAAUAAGCGGAGGAAAAGAAACCAACAGGGAUUGCCUCAGUAACGGCGAGUGAAGCGGCAACAGCUCAAAUUUGAAAUCUGGCCCUAGGCCCGAGUUGUAAUUUGCAGAGGAUGCUUUUGGUGAGGUGCCUUCCGAGUUCCCUGGAACGGGACGCCAUAGAGGGUGAGAGCCCCGUCUGGUCGGACACCGAGCCUCUGUAAAGCUCCUUCGACGAGUCGAGUAGUUUGGGAAUGCUGCUCUAAAUGGGAGGUAUAUGUCUUCUAAAGCUAAAUACCGGCCAGAGACCGAUAGCGCACAAGUAGAGUGAUCGAAAGAUGAAAAGCACUUUGAAAAGAGAGUUAAAUAGCACGUGAAAUUGUUGAAAGGGAAGCGUUUAUGACCAGACUUGGCCCGGUUGAUCAUCCAGCGUUCUCGCUGGUGCACUCUGCCGGUCCAGGCCAGCAUCAGUUCGUCGCGGGGGAUAAAGGUUUCGGGAAUGUGGCUCCUCCGGGAGUGUUAUAGCCCGUUGCGUAAUACCCUGCGGUGGACUGAGGUCCGCGCUUCUGCAAGGAUGCUGGCGUAAUGGUCAUCAACGAC